RNAcentral lists this ribosomal RNA (448 nucleotides) under uncultured organism. RNAcentral's name for it is "partial 16S ribosomal RNA". It matches the Rfam family "Bacterial small subunit ribosomal RNA", at positions 333 to 797 of the family's 1533-position model. The record is from RNAcentral.
ACACUCCUACGGGAGGCAGCAGUGGGGAAUAUUGGACAAUGGGCGCAAGCCUGAUCCAGCCAUGCCGCGUGAGUGAUGAAGGCCCUAGGGUUGUAAAGCUCUUUCACCGGUGAAGAUAAUGACGGUAACCGGAGAAGAAGCCCCGGCUAACUUCGUGCCAGCAGCCGCGGUAAUACGAAGGGGGCUAGCGUUGUUCGGAUUUACUGGGCGUAAAGCGCACGUAGGCGGACUAUUAAGUCAGGGGUGAAAUCCCGGGGCUCAACCCCGGAACUGCCUUUGAUACUGGUAGUCUUGAGUUCGAGAGAGGUGAGUGGAAUUCCGAGUGUAGAGGUGAAAUUCGUAGAUAUUCGGAGGAACACCAGUGGCGAAGGCGGCUCACUGGCUCGAUACUGACGCUGAGGUGCGAAAGCGUGGGGAGCAAACAGGAUUAGAUACCCCGUGUAGUCCC